AUUGAACGCUGGCGGCAUGCCUUACACAUGCAAGUCGAACGGCAGCACGGGAGCAAUCCUGGUGGCGAGUGGCGAACGGGUGAGUAAUAUAUCGGAACGUGCCCAGUCGUGGGGAUAACGUAGCGAAAGCUACGCUAAUACCGCAUACGAUCUAUGGAUGAAAGCGGGGGAUCGCAAGACCUCGCGCGAUUGGAGCGGCCGAUAUCAGAUUAGGUAGUUGGUGAGGUAAAGGCUCACCAAGCCGACGAUCUGUAGCUGGUCUGAGAGGACGACCAGCCACACUGGGACUGAGACACGGCCCAGACUCCUACGGAGGCAGCAGUGGGGAAUUUUGGACAAUGGGCGCAAGCCUGAUCCAGCAAUGCCGCGUGCAGGAUGAAGGCCUC
Molecule: ribosomal RNA, 386 nt
Filed under: uncultured bacterium
Lineage: Bacteria
Description: bacterial SSU rRNA
Rfam family: Bacterial small subunit ribosomal RNA
Source: RNAcentral